CAAGAACCAUUUCCCAGUGCUCUGUGUCCUGCACUGACCAAAGAAUUUGUUCAAUCCAAUCAAGGAAGUCCUUCGGUUGAAUGCCAGUGAGCUCCUCUCCACCUCAGGGAGGCAAAGGCUGAGCUUGCUGUCUCAGAAGAAGCCCAUAUCUGCAUAUUUUAAAUUUUCUCUUAGGAUGGCUGGCACAGAACAAUUAUCAUUUCCACUAUCUCUUGUUUGGAGGAGGUAUUUUCAUGCUAAGUCAGAGAUUAAGUAUAACAUUUAAUUUAAUUUUCAGUUUUCCAUUUCCUUUACAGCUUUGAAACAGAAAUUACUUUUAUUAAAGUAUGAAUUGAAAGUCAAAACAAAAUGUGGUGGCAGAAUUUCAAGUGCAUAACAAAAAAGAGAGUCAAAAGUGAAUAUAUGCCCCUCAGAGAAAAAAUAGGAAAUAUAGAUGCAGAUAAAGAAAAAAAAGAGAAGAAAUAUUUUUAAAUCAUCCAAGAGCCCCCCACGGAGACGAGAAGAGCAACUGUCGCCAUCUGGAGGUAAACCAAUUGAGAGUAUAUCAGCUGUCAACAAGAUGAUGAGUUGGAUCCUGCCUGACCUCCCACAGCUGAGGCUGAGGCCAGUUGAGGGUAAAGGCAGUCAUGACUUCACACUCUAGCCGUCAGGUCUGGGGCCAGCCUUCCUCCUGCGGCCCCACUGGGAAGUCCGGUGCAGCCCUGGCACCAAGUUCACUCUCUCCCCACCCACGCUUUACAGAAGAUGAAGAGGAAAGGCAAGAGGAGGCUUCUUCCUCUCCCACGUGGAAGAAGAGGAGGGUGUUUUCUCCUGCCUGAAGCCCAGUGAGGGGAACUCCAAAAGAAUCCUCCCUAAGUGUUGGAGGUGACUGUAAGGUGGGACACCAGCAACUUAUUCUCAGCUAGGUGCUGGCUCAGGGACAGACUCAUGUAUGUGCUUCCUAUAUGGGAACAGACCAUGCUGAGGGUCCUUUCCUUGGGAAAGCACUUGGGGAUCUGAGAAUCUAGGAAUGUAGCAGUUAGAUUUUAGCAACUUUUUCCAUCUAUGGGGGAAAGAGGGUUUGCUUGCCAUAUGUCCCUUGAGGUUUGGGG
Molecule: long non-coding RNA, 1091 nt
Filed under: Equus caballus (horse)
Lineage: Eukaryota; Metazoa; Chordata; Mammalia; Perissodactyla; Equidae
Description: lncRNA (ENSECAG00000056940.1)
Source: RNAcentral